Molecule: ribosomal RNA, 497 nt
Filed under: uncultured bacterium
Lineage: Bacteria
Description: partial 16S ribosomal RNA
Rfam family: Bacterial small subunit ribosomal RNA
Source: RNAcentral
GACGAACGCUGGCGGCGUGCCUAAUACAUGCAAGUUGAGCGCUGAAGGUUGGUACUUGUACCAACUGGAUGAGCAGCGAACGGGUGAGUAACGCGUGGGGAAUCUGCCUUUGAGCGGGGGACAACAUUUGGAAACGAAUGCUAAUACCGCAUAAAAACUUUAAACACAAGUUUUAAGUUUGAAAGAUGCGAUUGCAUCACUCAAAGAUGAUCCCGCGUUGUAUUAGCUAGUUGGUGAGGUAAAGGCUCACCAAGGCGAUGAUACAUAGCCGACCUGAGAGGGUGAUCGGCCACAUUGGGACUGAGACACGGCCCAAACUCCUACGGGAGGCAGCAGUAGGGAAUCUUCGGCAAUGGACGAAAGUCUGACCGAGCAACGCCGCGUGAGUGAAGGAGGUUUUCGGAUCGUAAAACUCUGUUGGUAGAGAAGAACGUUGGUGAGAGUGGAAAGCUCAUCAAGUGACGGUAACUACCCAGAAAGGGACGGCUAACUACGUG